Molecule: ribosomal RNA, 112 nt
Filed under: Acanthosepion pharaonis
Lineage: Eukaryota; Metazoa; Mollusca; Cephalopoda; Sepiida; Sepiidae
Source: RNAcentral
CUGGCCAUAUCACAUUCAAACACCAGUUCUCAUACAAUCACUGAAAUUAAGCAACAUUGAGCCUGGUCAAUACCUAGAUGGGUGACCACUUGGGAAUACCAGAUGCUGUAAG